Molecule: transfer RNA, 72 nt
Filed under: Camelus bactrianus (Bactrian camel)
Lineage: Eukaryota; Metazoa; Chordata; Mammalia; Artiodactyla; Camelidae
Also listed under: 2 other names
Rfam family: tRNA
About the family: Transfer RNA (tRNA) molecules are approximately 80 nucleotides in length. Their secondary structure includes four short double-helical elements and three loops (D, anti-codon, and T loops).
Source: Rfam by way of RNAcentral
GAGGGUACAGCUCAGUGGUAGAGCAUGUGCUUACCAUGCACAGGGUCCUGGGUUCAAUCCCCACUACCUCCA